UCCAGCUGUUUUGGGACUACAACUCCCAUCAUCCCUAGCUAACAGGACCAGUGUCAGGGAUGAUGGGAGUUGUAGUCCCAAAAGAGCUGGA
Molecule: microRNA precursor, 91 nt
Filed under: Podarcis lilfordi (Lilford's wall lizard)
Lineage: Eukaryota; Metazoa; Chordata; Lepidosauria; Squamata; Lacertidae
Source: RNAcentral